AUCCGAAAGACUCUCGGCAACGGAUAUCUCGGCUCUUGCAUCGAUGAAGAACGUAGCGAAAUGCGAUACUUGGUGUGAAUUGCAGAAUCCCGUGAACCAUCGAGUCUUUGAACGCAAGUUGCGCCCGAAGCCAUUAGGCUGAGGGCACGCCUGCCUGGGUGUUGCAC
RNAcentral lists this ribosomal RNA (167 nucleotides) under Argyrolobium harmsianum. RNAcentral's name for it is "5.8S ribosomal RNA". It matches the Rfam family "5.8S ribosomal RNA". Rfam says of the family: 5.8S ribosomal RNA (5.8S rRNA) is a component of the large subunit of the eukaryotic ribosome. It is transcribed by RNA polymerase I as part of the 45S precursor that also contains 18S and 28S rRNA. Lineage: Eukaryota; Viridiplantae; Streptophyta; Magnoliopsida; Fabales; Fabaceae. The record is from RNAcentral.